Molecule: long non-coding RNA, 2504 nt
Filed under: Spirodela polyrhiza (greater duckweed)
Lineage: Eukaryota; Viridiplantae; Streptophyta; Magnoliopsida; Alismatales; Araceae
Description: long non-coding RNA (SPOL_LNC002417)
Source: RNAcentral
GUCGAUGGACUCGUUCCUGGAGAAGUUCUUCCCGUCAGUGUUCAGGAAGGAGAAGAACGACACAUCGACGAACCAGUACUGCAAGUUCGACAGCCCGCUCCUGACGGCGUUCACCUCGUCCCUGUACCUGGCGGCGCUGGUGGCCUCCUUCUUCGCGUCGACGGUCACCCGCGUCUUCGGCCGCAAGAUCUCGAUGCUCUUCGGAGGCGUGACUUUCCUCGCCGGCGCCGCCAUCAACGGCGCCGCCAAGGACGUCGCCAUGCUCAUCAUUGGGCGCAUCCUCCUCGGCGUCGGCGUCGGCUUCGCUAACCAGGUACCCCCGACGACGAUCCUCCCGCAUUGAUUUCUCCCGCUCCGCUGCCCGCGGAUUUGGCGACACCAGCGAGAGCCCAAGAAGGGAAGAUCAGAGGGGAAUAAUUCCUCCUGUUCUUCUCUCCGGAUUCCCCUUUUUCCGAUCGAACCUCCAAACCCAGAAGAUAAAGAUAAUCCGCCCAAGAAAAUUCAAGGCUCGUGGAGCCCCCCGGCCCUGAUAUUUUCCCUCAUCCCCGGCUUUCAAUCGUUGAUAGCACCCCGCUCGCCGUGCGUUUACUUUUUUGAAUUCCCGUCGCUGUUGGUCUGACUCGUGGCGCCGAUAAAGUCAAACCUGUCCUUUUCUUCCCCAGACCACGGCGGGCGACGAGCCAGCCGGGGGGCCAUACAGGCAUCAAAUGCGUUCCUUUUCCAUUAUUUUCAUUGUUUCCAUUAUCUUCCGAAGAUUGAAUGAGAUUUUGACGAGGGUAAUCAAAAUAAUUACUCAUUAUUUCGUUAUCUCGGCCCGCGAUUGAUCGUAGUCUUUGGAAAUCUGGUGCAGUCGGUGCCGGUGUACCUGUCGGAGAUGGCGCCGGCGAGGUACCGGGGGAUGCUGAACAUCGGCUUCCAGCUGAUGAUCACCAUCGGCAUCUUCGUGGCGAACCUGGUGAACUACGGCACCUCCAAGAUCAGCGGCGGGUGGGGGUGGCGCGUCAGCCUCGCCGGCGCCGCCGUGCCGGCGCUGAUCAUCACCGUCGGCUCGGUCUUCCUGCCCGACACCCCCAACUCACUCAUCGAGAGGGGGAGGGACGAGGAGGCGCGCACCAUGCUCCGCAAGGUCCGCGGCACCGACGACGUCGACGCAGAGUACCAGGACCUGGUGGUGGCGAGCGUCCAGUCCCGCUCGGUGCAGCACCCGUGGGCCAACAUCGUGCAGAGGAAGUACCGCCCCCAGCUCACCAUGGCCCUCCUCAUCCCCUUCUUCCAGCAGCUCACCGGCAUCAACGUGAUCAUGUUCUACGCCCCCGUCCUCUUCAAGACCAUCGGCUUCGGCGACAACGCCUCCCUCAUCUCCGCCGUCAUCACCGGCCUCGUCAACGUCUUCGCCACGCUCGUCUCCGUCUACUACGCCGACCGCGCCGGCCGCCGCAAGCUCUUCCUCGAGGGCGGCACCCAGAUGCUCAUCUGCCAGGUCCGUCAAUCUCUCUCUAAAUGUCCUCUCUCUCUCUCUCUCUUCUUUCUCUGACCGGGAGGAGGGCCUCUGGUUUUCCAUGGCAGAUUCUGGUGGGGACGCUGAUAUGGAAGGUGUUCGGGAUCAGCGGGGUCGGGAAGGUGGACAAGGGGACGGCCAUCGUCAUCGUCUUCCUCAUCUGCGUCUACGUCUCGGGCUUCGCCUGGUCCUGGGGGCCCCUCGGGUGGCUGGUGCCGUCGGAGAUCUUCCCCCUGGAGAUCCGCUCCGCCGGGCAGUCCAUCAACGUGUCGGUCAACAUGUUCUUCACCUUCGUCAUCGCGCAGAUCUUCCUGACGCUGCUCUGCCACCUCAAGUUCGGCCUCUUCUACUUCUUCGGCGGCUGGGUCGUCAUCAUGACCACCUUCAUCUACUUCUUCCUCCCCGAGACGAAGAACGUCCCCAUCGAGGAGAUGACCCGCGUCUGGAAGAGGCACUGGUUCUGGGGCAAGUUCAUCGACGACUCCGCCGCCGCCGCCGCCCCCACCGCCGCCGACGUCGAGCUCAAGAAGACCACCCAGGUGUAAGUCGCCCUCCGGCGAGCGCCGUUCAUCCCCUCCCCUCGGCCGGGGUGUACCCACAGCCGCCAUCUUUGUGGUCAACCAUGGAUUCCAAAAAGGGCAAAAAACAAGAAAAAAAUUUACCCUGGUUAAUCGUUACUGUUCUCGCCGAUAUCGCCUCUCCCCCGGUCAAAAGGAGCCGAGUGGUCAACCAGUUUGGUCGUCGACGGGGCGUUUCUUGCUGCUAUUUGUGAAUAAAAAAAUGGGCGGCGGGUGCGCAGGCUGUCGCAGUCCAGACAAAGAAGAGUUGCUUGUCUUGGAGAUGGGAGAUGAAGGGGCUUUCUGCGCAGUCGGCUGCGUGCUUGAGGAGCAUCUGGAGUUCAUUCAUUGGGUCCUCUGGACCGCCGCUCACUUCGAACUCAGCGCCGCAACGUGCUCUUCUUUGGAAAUCAGAGAACACCCACGUGAACGCACUCACACGCAUCCCC